This 37-nucleotide ribosomal RNA is filed under the name uncultured Acaulosporaceae. RNAcentral's name for it is "partial 18S ribosomal RNA". The record is from RNAcentral. Lineage: Eukaryota; Fungi; Glomeromycota; Glomeromycetes; Diversisporales; Acaulosporaceae.
CAACCGCUUCGUAGGUGAACCUGCGGAAGGAUCAUUC